This 1048-nucleotide ribosomal RNA is filed under the name Halobacterium salinarum. Its description in RNAcentral is "bacterial SSU rRNA". It matches the Rfam family "Archaeal small subunit ribosomal RNA", at positions 45 to 1091 of the family's 1478-position model. Lineage: Archaea; Methanobacteriati; Methanobacteriota; Halobacteria; Halobacteriales; Halobacteriaceae. The record is from RNAcentral.
UUAGCCUGCUAGUUGUGCGGGUUUAGACCCGCAGCGGAAAGCUCAGUAACACGUGGCCAAGCUACCCUGUGGACGGGAAUACUCUCGGGAAACUGAGGCUAAUCCCCGAUAACGCUUUGCUCCUGGAAGGGGCAAAGCCGGAAACGCUCCGGCGCCACAGGAUGCGGCUGCGGUCGAUUAGGUAGACGGUGGGGUAACGGCCCACCGUGCCCAUAAUCGGUACGGGUUGUGAGAGCAAGAGCCCGGAGACGGAAUCUGAGACAAGAUUCCGGGCCCUACGGGGCGCAGCAGGCGCGAAACCUUUACACUGUACGAAAGUGCGAUAAGGGGACUCCGAGUGUGAAGGCAUAGAGCCUUCACUUUUGUACACCGUAAGGUGGUGCACGAAUAAGGACUGGGCAAGACCGGUGCCAGCCGCCGCGGUAAUACCGGCAGUCCGAGUGAUGGCCGAUCUUAUUGGGCCUAAAGCGUCCGUAGCUGGCUGAACAAGUCCGUUGGGAAAUCUGUCCGCUUAACGGGCAGGCGUCCAGCGGAAACUGUUCAGCUUGGGACCGGAAGACCUGAGGGGUACGUCUGGGGUAGGAGUGAAAUCCUGUAAUCCUGGACGGACCGCCGGUGGCGAAAGCGCCUCAGGAGAACGGAUCCGACAGUGAGGGACGAAAGCUAGGGUCUCGAACCGGAUUAGAUACCCGGGUAGUCCUAGCUGUAAACGAUGUCCGCUAGGUGUGGCGCAGGCUACGAGCCUGCGCUGUGCCGUAGGGAAGCCGAGAAGCGGACCGCCUGGGAAGUACGUCUGCAAGGAUGAAACUUAAAGGAAUUGGCGGGGGAGCACUACAACCGGAGGAGCCUGCGGUUUAAUUGGACUCAACGCCGGACAUCUCACCAGCCCCGACAGUAGUAAUGACGGUCAGGUUGAUGACCUUACCCGAGGCUACUGAGAGGAGGUGCAUGGCCGCCGUCAGCUCGUACCGUGAGGCGUCCUGUUAAGUCAGGCAACGANCGAGACCCGCACUCCUAAUUGCCAGCAGUACCCUUUNGGNUAGCUGGG